This 85-nucleotide transfer RNA is filed under the name Verrucomicrobiota bacterium. RNAcentral's name for it is "Verrucomicrobia bacterium tRNA-Leu". It matches the Rfam family "tRNA". Rfam says of the family: Transfer RNA (tRNA) molecules are approximately 80 nucleotides in length. Their secondary structure includes four short double-helical elements and three loops (D, anti-codon, and T loops). The record is from RNAcentral. Lineage: Bacteria; Pseudomonadati; Verrucomicrobiota.
GCCGGCAUGGCGAAAUGGUAAACGCAGCGGACUUAAAAUCCGCUGGCCCGCGAGGGUCUUGCGGGUUCGAGUCCCGCUGCCGGUA